RNAcentral lists this ribosomal RNA (777 nucleotides) under uncultured bacterium. Its description in RNAcentral is "bacterial SSU rRNA". It matches the Rfam family "Bacterial small subunit ribosomal RNA", at positions 606 to 1384 of the family's 1533-position model. The record is from RNAcentral.
GGCUUANCCAUAGUACGCUUUGGAAACUGUUUAACUNGAGUGCAAGAGGGGAGAGUGGAAUUCCAUGUGUAGCGGUGAAAUGCGUAGAUAUAUGGAGGAACACCGGUGGCGAAAGCGGCUCUCUGGCUUGUAACUGACGCUGAGGCUCGAAAGCGUGGGGAGCAAACAGGAUUAGAUACCCUGGUAGUNCACGCCGUAAACGAUGAGUGCUAGGUGUUAGACCCUUUCCGGGGUUUAGUGCCGCAGCUAACGCAUUAAGCACUCCGCCUGGGGAGUACGACCGCAAGGUUGAAACUCAAAGGAAUUGACGGGGGCCCGCACAAGCGGUGGGGCAUGUGGUUUAAUUCGAAGCAACGCGAAGAACCUUACCAGGUCUUGACAUCCCUCUGACCGCUCUAGAGAUAGAGUUUUCCUUCGGGACAGAGGUGACAGGUGGUGCAUGGUUGUCGUCAGCUCGUGUCGUGAGAUGUUGGGUUAAGNCCCGCAACGAGCGCAACCCCUAUUGUUAGUUGCCAUCAUUCAGUUGGGCACUCUAGCGAGACUGCCGGUAAUAAACCGGAGGAAGGUGGGGAUGACGUCAAAUCAUCAUGCCCCUUAUGACCUGGGCUACACACGUGCUACAAUGGCUGGUACAACGAGUCGCAAGCCGGUGACGGCAAGCUAAUCUCUUAAAGCCAGUCUCAGUUCGGAUUGUAGGCUGCAACUCGCCUACAUGAAGUCGGAAUCGCUAGUAAUCGCGGAUCAGCACGCCGCGGUGAAUACGUUCCCGGGCCUCGU